CCUAGGGGGGCUGCAGUGGGGAAUAUUGGACAAUGGGCGAAAGCCUGAUCCAGCCAUGCCGCGUGUGUGAAGAAGGCCUUCGGGUUGUAAAGCACUUUCAGUGGGGAAGAAAGCCUUGGGGCUAAUACCCUCGAGGAAGGACAUCACCCACAGAAGAAGCACCGGCUAACUCCGUGCCAGCAGCCGCGGUAAUACGGAGGGUGCGAGCGUUAAUCGGAAUUACUGGGCGUAAAGCGCGCGUAGGCGGUCUGAUAAGCCGGUUGUGAAAGCCCCGGGCUCAACCUGGUAACGGCAUCCGGAACUGUCAGGCUAGAGUGCAGGAGAGGAAGGUAGAAUUCCCGGUGUAGCGGUGAAAUGCGUAGAGAUCGGGAGGAAUACCAGUGGCGAAGGCGGCCUUCUGGACUGACACUGACGCUGAGGUGCGAAAGCGUGGGUAGCAAACAGGAUUAGAUACCCCGGUAGUC
RNAcentral lists this ribosomal RNA (464 nucleotides) under Vreelandella stevensii. RNAcentral describes it as "partial 16S ribosomal RNA". It matches the Rfam family "Bacterial small subunit ribosomal RNA", at positions 338 to 795 of the family's 1533-position model. Lineage: Bacteria; Pseudomonadati; Pseudomonadota; Gammaproteobacteria; Oceanospirillales; Halomonadaceae. The record is from RNAcentral.